This 90-nucleotide non-coding RNA is filed under the name Pseudomonas baetica. Lineage: Bacteria; Pseudomonadati; Pseudomonadota; Gammaproteobacteria; Pseudomonadales; Pseudomonadaceae. The record is from RNAcentral.
UGUGGGAGCGAGCCUGCUCGCGAAGGCGUCAUGUCAGCCAGCAUCAAUGUUGACUGACACACUGCUUUCGCGAGCAGGCUCGCUCCCACA